Molecule: ribosomal RNA, 235 nt
Filed under: uncultured Candidatus Saccharibacteria bacterium
Lineage: Bacteria; Candidatus Saccharimonadota
Description: partial 16S ribosomal RNA
Rfam family: Bacterial small subunit ribosomal RNA
Source: RNAcentral
UAAGCGGGACGUGAAAUCCAAGGGCUCAACCCUUGAACUGCAUUUCGAACUGGCAAGCUUGAGUAUAUGAGAGGAAAUUGGAAUUCCUAGUGUAGGAGUGAAAUCCGUAGAUAUUAGGAGGAACACCAAUGGCGAAGGCAGGCUUCUGGCCCAUUUCUGACGCUGAGGCACGAAAGCGUGGGGAGCGAACCGGAUUAGAUACCCGGGUAGUCCACGCCGUAAACUAUGGAUGCUA